UACAGAGGGCCCGAGCGUUGUUCGGAUUCACUGGGCGUAAAGGGUGCGUAGGUGGCUUGAAAAGUUUGAUGUGAAAGCUCAGGGCUUAACCCUGAAAUGGCAUUGAAUACUGUCGGGCUGGAGGUUUGGAGGGGGGACUGGAAUUCUUGGUGUAGCAGUGAAAUGCGUAGAUAUCAAGAGGAACACCAGUGGCGAAGGCGAGUCCCUGGACAACACCUGACACUGAGGCACGAAAGCUAGGGGAGCAAACAGG
Molecule: ribosomal RNA, 253 nt
Filed under: uncultured bacterium
Lineage: Bacteria
Description: partial 16S ribosomal RNA
Rfam family: Bacterial small subunit ribosomal RNA
Source: RNAcentral